GGUUCCAUAAUGUAGUGGUUAGCAUGUCUGCUUUACACACAGAAGGUUCUGGGUUUGAGCCCCAGUGGGGUCA
Molecule: transfer RNA, 73 nt
Filed under: Pteropus alecto (black flying fox)
Lineage: Eukaryota; Metazoa; Chordata; Mammalia; Chiroptera; Pteropodidae
Rfam family: tRNA
About the family: Transfer RNA (tRNA) molecules are approximately 80 nucleotides in length.
Source: Rfam by way of RNAcentral